GAUGAACGCUGGCGGCGUGCCUAACACAUGCAAGUCGAGCGAACCCUUCGGGGUGAGCGGCGGACGGGUGAGUAACGCGUGGGUAACCUGCCCUGUACACACGGAUAACAUACCGAAAGGUAUGCUAAUACGGGAUAACAUAUGAGAGUCGCAUGGCUUUUGUAUCAAAGCUUUUGCGGUACAGGAUGGACCCGCGUCUGAUUAGCUAGUUGGUAAGGUAACGGCUUACCAAGGCAACGAUCAGUAGCCGACCUGAGAGGGUGAUCGGCCACAUUGGGACUGAGACACGGUCCAAACUCCUACGGGAGGCAGCAGUGGGGAAUAUUGCACAAUGGGCGAAAGCCUGAUGCAGCAACGCCGCGUGAGCGAUGAAGGCCUUCGGGUCGUAAAGCUCUGUCCUCAAGGAAGAUAAUGACGGUACUUGAGGAGGAAGCCCCGGCUAACUACGUGCCAGCAGCCGCGGUAAUACGUAGGGGGCUAGCGUUAUCCGGAAUUACUGGGCGUAAAGGGUGCGUAGGCGGUCUUUCAAGCCAGAAGUGAAAGGCUACGGCUCAACCGUAGUAAGCUUUUGGAACUGUAGGACUUGAGUGCAGGAGAGGAGAGUGGAAUUCCUAGUGUAGCGGUGAAAUGCGUAGAUAUUAGGAGGAACACCAGUAGCGAAGGCGGCUCUCUGGACUGUAACUGACGCUGAGGCACGAAAGCGUGGGGAGCAACCAGGAUUAGAUACCCUGGUAGUCCACGCCGUAAACGAUGAGUACUAGGUGUCGGGGGUUACCCCCCUCGGUGCCGCAGCUAACGCAUUAAGUACUCCGCCUGGGAAGUACGCUCGCAAGAGUGAAACUCAAAGGAAUUGACGGGGACCCGCACAAGUAGCGGAGCAUGUGGUUUAAUUCGAAGCAACGCGAAGAACCUUACCUAAGCUUGACAUCCCACUGACCUCUCCCUAAUCGGAGAUUUCCCUUCGGGGACAGUGGUGACAGGUGGUGCAUGGUUGUCGUCAGCUCGUGUCGUGAGAUGUUGGGUUAAGUCCCGCAACGAGCGCAACCCUUGCCUUUAGUUGCCAGCAUUAAGUUGGGCACUCUAGAGGGACUGCCGAGGAUAACUCGGAGGAAGGUGGGGAUGACGUCAAAUCAUCAUGCCCCUUAUGCUUAGGGCUACACACGUGCUACAAUGGGUGGUACAGAGGGUUGCCAAGCCGUGAGGUGGAGCUAAUCCCUUAAAGCCAUUCUCAGUUCGGAUUGUAGGCUGAAACUCGCCUACAUGAAGCUGGAGUUACUAGUAAUCGCAGAUCAGAAUGCUGCGGUGAAUGCGUUCCCGGGUCU
Molecule: ribosomal RNA, 1322 nt
Filed under: uncultured bacterium
Lineage: Bacteria
Description: partial 16S ribosomal RNA
Rfam family: Bacterial small subunit ribosomal RNA
Source: RNAcentral